RNAcentral lists this long non-coding RNA (413 nucleotides) under Chinchilla lanigera (long-tailed chinchilla). Its description in RNAcentral is "lncRNA (ENSCLAG00000028270.1)". Lineage: Eukaryota; Metazoa; Chordata; Mammalia; Rodentia; Chinchillidae. The record is from RNAcentral.
GGGGAGCGGCGACGCGCAUGCGCAGUCCUCGGGCUGGCCCGGCGCACCUUUUCUCGCUGCAGCCACAUUGUGAGCGCUCGGCCCUGCAGAUAACCGCCGGCUCCCCGCCCCGCCCCCGCCCUCGCCCACUCCGCCCACUCCCGGGCGCCCAGGAUCCCACACUCUGCCCUUCCCAGCCCAGCCCAUUUGGGUUCCCAAGAACUGCAGUCCAGCCAGCGGCUCAUCCACCGCCCAGCUCCAUGGGAAGAUUCGGCUCAGCCAGACCCAAGCCAACGGCAGCUGCUUGGAAACGCGGGCUCUGGGCUUUCCCAGAGCAGUGGCCGCCCGCCCGACCCAGGCCCCGGGCGCUUUCCCACCGGCCCUCAGGUCUGGUCAGCAGGAGCUUUGCCGAUGUCGCCUGCAAGCCUGAUUAA